Molecule: ribosomal RNA, 472 nt
Filed under: uncultured bacterium
Lineage: Bacteria
Description: bacterial SSU rRNA
Rfam family: Bacterial small subunit ribosomal RNA
Source: RNAcentral
AACGAACGCUGGCGGCAGGCUUAACACAUGCAAGUCGAACGGGUGUAGCAAUACAUCAGUGGCAGACGGGUGAGUAACACGUGGGAACCUUCCUAGGGGUACGGAACAACUCAGGGAAACUUGAGCUAAUACCGUAUACGUCCGUGAGGAGAAAGAUUUAUCGCCCUUAGACGGGCCCGCGUCGGAUUAGGUAGUUGGUGGGGUAACGGCCUACCAAGCCUACGAUCCGUAGCUGAUCUGAGAGGAUGAUCAGCCACACUGGGACUGAGACACGGCCCAGACUCCUACGGGAGGCAGCAGUGGGGAAUUUUGGACAAUGGGCGCAAGCCUGAUCCAGCAAUGCCGCGUGUGUGAAGAAGGCCUGCGGGUUGUAAAGCACUUUCAGUGGGAAGAACAGGCCUGGGCUAAUACCCAGGUGUCUGACGUUACCCACAGAAGAAGCACCGGCUAACUCCGUGCCAGCAGCCGCGGU